AGAGACGCAGCUGAGACAGGCUGUGUGUCUGCUCUAACCUGUUAACACGAACGCCGAAAUAAAAAACAACAGGUAACGCAGCCAACACGCGCUGCUGACGUUCCUGGUGUGGGCUGUAAACAACCGAGAUCACGCUAAACAGGGGCCUGUUUCACAAAAGCAGAAUAAAGAUUUCCAAAUAAGAGAGAAAGCGAGGCUUGACAUAGUCUAGUCAGUUCAUCCUGGCUUAAUUGGUUUCACAAAGGCCAAGCGAGGCUGAGGAGGAGCGACUAGGUUGAGCCAGGUGUUAUUAAUUCAGAUAGAUGCGCGUUCACUGUUUUCCUCAAUAGACAGACAGGCAGAGACACAUUUUACAAAGGAAGAGUAAACUAUAUCAGACAAAUAUGAAGAAGUUAAACACUUAAUCCAGACUAACAGUAACUCAGCUGAAGCUGCCAAAUGCAGGAAGAACAGCUGGUGAAAGAAAAAACUCCCGAUGUGUGAAUGAUUAAAUUAACAGAUUUAUUAAUUUAACGGAACACUCAAAAGUCAGAUGAAGUUGUCUAGAUAUAAAUAAUUUGUAUCAGUGUAAAGGUUGAGAGUAUUA
Long non-coding RNA from Sebastes umbrosus (honeycomb rockfish), 586 nucleotides. RefSeq lists it as uncharacterized. The transcript is spliced from 2 exons. NCBI's taxonomy places the organism in Eukaryota, Metazoa, Chordata, Actinopteri, Perciformes, Sebastidae. The record is from RefSeq and is a predicted model, not a curated record.